GACGAACGCUGGCGGCGUGCUUAACACAUGCAAGUCGAACGGAAAGGCCUCUUUCGGGGGGUACUCGAGUGGCGAACGGGUGAGUAACACGUGAGUAACCUGCCCUUGACUUUGGGAUAACUUCAGGAAGCUGGGGCUAAUACCGGAUAGGAGCUCCUGCUGCAUGGUGGGGGGUGGAAAGUUUCGGCGGUUGGGGAUGGACUCGCGGCCUAUCAGCUUGUUGGUGGGGUAGUGGCUUACCAAGGCUUUGACGGGUAGCCGGCCUGAGAGGGUGACCGGCCACAUUGGGACUGAGAUACGGCCCAGACUCCUACGGGAGGCAGCAGUGGGGAAUAUUGCACAAUGGGUGGAAGCCUGAUGCAGCAACGCCGUGUGCGGGAUGACGGCCUUCGGGUUGUAAACCGCUUUCGCUCAUGACGAAGCUUUGUGUGACGGUAGUGGGUAAAGAAGCACCGGCUAACUACGUG
Molecule: ribosomal RNA, 467 nt
Filed under: uncultured bacterium
Lineage: Bacteria
Description: partial 16S ribosomal RNA
Rfam family: Bacterial small subunit ribosomal RNA
Source: RNAcentral